AAAUACCGGAGUUAUAAGUUUUUAUGUUCAACAUUUGAUCAUCUAUCUUAUUUGAAAAAAAUAUGGUUAGUAUUUGUAGUGUUAUUAGAUGAUAAAAUAUGAAUAAUACUUUAUGAGCGACUAUUUCUAAAUUUUUUUUCUAAAUUUUUUAAAUAAGAUGGAGGUUGAAAUUGAACGGAGGUAGUACUUAAG
This 192-nucleotide microRNA precursor is filed under the name Oryza punctata. Its description in RNAcentral is "MIR812 microRNA precursor family". It matches the Rfam family "MIR812 microRNA precursor family". The record is from Rfam by way of RNAcentral. Lineage: Eukaryota; Viridiplantae; Streptophyta; Magnoliopsida; Poales; Poaceae.